GGUGGCGAUAGCGAAGAGGUCACACCCGUUCCCAUACCGAACACGGAAGUUAAGCUCUUUAGCGCCAAUGGUAGUUGGGACUUUGUCCCUGUGAGAGUAGGACGUUGCCAGGC
Molecule: ribosomal RNA, 113 nt
Filed under: Priestia megaterium
Lineage: Bacteria; Bacillati; Bacillota; Bacilli; Caryophanales; Bacillaceae
Also listed under: 1 other name
Source: RNAcentral